Molecule: long non-coding RNA, 551 nt
Organism: Neltuma alba
Lineage: Eukaryota; Viridiplantae; Streptophyta; Magnoliopsida; Fabales; Fabaceae
Exons: 3
Source: RefSeq, a predicted model, not a curated record
GAUAAAGAAUCCUUUAAAUGGUUUGCGUUUUGCACAAAAAUUACUGCAAAAUACAGCUGUCUCAGAAAAUCAGAAACAAUUUCUUGAUACUAGUGAUGCUUGUGAGAGACAAAUUAUGACAAUUAUUGAGGAUGCGGAUUUUGGAAGUAUUGAUGAAGGAACUUUGCAGCUAAAAAUAGAAGAGUUUUUUCUGGGAAAUAUCCUAGAUGCCAUUGUCAGCCAAGUCAUGAUCUUGAUAAGAGAAAGAAACUUGCAGCUCUUUCAUGAAAUUCCUGAUGAAAUUAAAACGCUUACUCUAUUCGGUGACCAAAUAAGGCUUCAAGUGGUCUUGUCUAACUUUUUGAUCAAUUUGGUUUGCCACCACACCAUCUCCCAAUGGCUGGGUAGAAAUAAAGAUUUCACCUGGGCUGAAGAUAAUACAGGAUGGAAGUGAGUUUAUUCAUCUGCAGUUCAGAAUGACCCAUGCCGGUCAAGGUCUUCCUUCUGAAAUUCUUCAGGAAAUGUUUGAAGGUGGGAAUAAAUGGACUACACAGGAAGGUCUAGGGCUAUAC